CUCUGUGACUCCUACGGGAGGCAGCAGUGGGGAAUAUUGCACAAUGGGGGAAACCCUGAUGCAGCCAUGCCGCGGUGUGUGAAGAAGGCCUUCGGGUUGUAAAGCACUUUCAGUAGGGAGGAAGGGUAUGUAGUUAACACCUGACACUACUUUGACGUUACCUACAGAAGAAGCACCGGCUAACUCCGUGCCAGCAGCCGCGGUAAUACGGAGGGUGCGAGCGUUAAUCGGAAUUACUGGGCGUAAAGCGCAUGCAGGCGGCCUGUUAAGUCAGAUCGUGAAAGCCCCGGGGCUUAACCUCGGAAUUGCAUUUGAAACUGGCAGGCUAGAGUCUUGUAGAGGGGGUAGAAUUUCAGGUGUAGCGGUGAAAUGCGUAGAGAUCUGAAGGAAUACCAGUGGCGAAGGCGGCCCCCUGGACAAAGACUGACGCUCAGAUCGCGAAAGCGUGGGGAGCAAACAGGAUUAGAUACCCUGUAG
RNAcentral lists this ribosomal RNA (477 nucleotides) under uncultured bacterium. RNAcentral describes it as "bacterial SSU rRNA". It matches the Rfam family "Bacterial small subunit ribosomal RNA", at positions 328 to 793 of the family's 1533-position model. The record is from RNAcentral.